RNAcentral lists this transfer RNA (59 nucleotides) under Ictidomys tridecemlineatus (thirteen-lined ground squirrel). RNAcentral's name for it is "Spermophilus tridecemlineatus (thirteen-lined ground squirrel) tRNA". It matches the Rfam family "tRNA", at positions 7 to 64 of the family's 71-position model. Rfam says of the family: Transfer RNA (tRNA) molecules are approximately 80 nucleotides in length. Their secondary structure includes four short double-helical elements and three loops (D, anti-codon, and T loops). Lineage: Eukaryota; Metazoa; Chordata; Mammalia; Rodentia; Sciuridae. The record is from Rfam by way of RNAcentral.
GUAGCUCAGUGGCAGAGCACUUGCCUAGCAUGUGUGAUGUUCUAGGUUCAAUCCCUAGC